ACAAGGAUGGCCGAGAGGUCAAGGCGUUGGACUGGACGUACAUGUGAGUUCAAACCCCACUCCUAGUA
Molecule: transfer RNA, 68 nt
Filed under: Salmo salar (Atlantic salmon)
Lineage: Eukaryota; Metazoa; Chordata; Actinopteri; Salmoniformes; Salmonidae
Rfam family: tRNA
About the family: Transfer RNA (tRNA) molecules are approximately 80 nucleotides in length. Their secondary structure includes four short double-helical elements and three loops (D, anti-codon, and T loops). Further hydrogen bonds mediate the characteristic L-shaped molecular structure. tRNAs have two regions of fundamental functional importance: the anti-codon, which is responsible for specific mRNA codon recognition, and the 3' end, to which the tRNAs corresponding amino acid is attached (by aminoacyl-tRNA synthetases). tRNAs cope with the degeneracy of the genetic code in two manners: having more than one tRNA (with a specific anti-codon) for a particular amino acid; and 'wobble' base-pairing, i.e. permitting non-standard base-pairing at the 3rd anti-codon position.
Source: Rfam by way of RNAcentral